AAUAGAUACCCAGGUAGUCCACGCCGUAAACGAUGAGUGCUAAGUGUUAGGGGGUUUCCGCCCCUUAGUGCUGCAGCUAACGCAUUAAGCACUCCGCCCGGGGAGUACGGUCGCAAGACUGAAACUCAAAGGAAUUGACGGGGGCCCGCACAAGCGGUGGAGCAUGUGGUUUAAUUCGAAGCAACGCGAAGAACCUUACCAGGUCUUGACAUCCCAUUGACCACUAUGGAGACAUAGUUUUCCCUUCGGGGACAACGGUGACAGGUGGUGCAUGGUUGUCGUCAGCUCGUGUCGUGAGAUGUUGGGUUAAGUCCCGCAACGAGCGCAACCCUUGUUCUUAGUUGCCAUCAUUUAGUUGGGCACUCUAAGGAGACUGCCGGUGACAAACCGGAGGAAGGUGGGGAUGACGUCAAAUCAUCAUGCCCCUUAUGACCUGGGCUACACACGUGCUACAAUGGACGGUACAAACGGUUGCCAACCCGCGAGGGGGAGCUAAUCCGAUAAAACCGUUCUCAGUUCGGAUUGUAGGCUGCAACUCGCCUACA
RNAcentral lists this ribosomal RNA (545 nucleotides) under uncultured bacterium. RNAcentral's name for it is "bacterial SSU rRNA". It matches the Rfam family "Bacterial small subunit ribosomal RNA", at positions 777 to 1320 of the family's 1533-position model. The record is from RNAcentral.